RNAcentral lists this long non-coding RNA (672 nucleotides) under Chrysemys picta bellii (western painted turtle). RNAcentral's name for it is "lncRNA (ENSCPBG00000002095.1)". The record is from RNAcentral. Lineage: Eukaryota; Metazoa; Chordata; Testudines; Emydidae.
CUCCUCCCCAGCUCCUUCUGGGUCCUAGCGAUAAACCGAUUCCAUGGCAGGUACUCUACCUCUCAGAGCCCUAUGUCUACACUGCUAUUUCAUGCACCCAGGCUCUAAGACGCAUUUCCUCCAGGCAAAUAUUAAAUAUCUUCGCCUACUGUGUUAGGUAAUAAUAUAUAAUAUGUUCCCUUCUUUGAUUUAAAUAUAAAUUGAAAUAUACAUUAUACUAAUUAUCGCAUUCCAUUAUUUCAGAGAUCUCUUUCCAUUUUUUAUCUAACGUAAAAAAUGAAUAAAGAGACCGGUAAGGCUGGUGAGAAGAGGAAGAGGACUGCAGGAGUAGACAAAGAUCCGUCCACGUCGAAACAAAAACAACGGGAUAGCACCCCUGACAGAGUAUUGAAGUCUCGGGGUGAACUUCCACCAAAAGAGAAGCCAUCUACUUUCAAAAAACCCUUACAAGACUCAUGGCUUCAAGAAGGCCAAAAUUGAUACCUGUGAAAUAUUGCAAAGGCUUUUCUACCCAGGGCAACACUCGGGAAUAUUAAGGUGAGUGAUCCACUGCGUCCCUCCUUCUUUUUGGACUUAAAAAAAACCAAAUGCAUGUUACACCUGGACUAUACAACAUUUUUAAAUGGUCAAGACAGAUCAAAGGCCUGAUGAUUGCAGUGUUUUGAGGAAGGA